Homo sapiens (human) is the source of this 913-nucleotide long non-coding RNA. Ensembl annotates it as long intergenic non-protein coding RNA 1322. Lineage: Eukaryota; Metazoa; Chordata; Mammalia; Primates; Hominidae. The record is from Ensembl.
GCUGGAGAGAAUGAGCUUGGAGCCGCAGGGCUUAAUCCCGCGCGGCUCAGAGAUGGGUUUCUGGACUCGCGAAGCAGCUGCAACAAGGCAUCACUCACUGUAUAAGUAUUUCCAUUUCUGAGAGCAAAAGGAAGAACUUAAGCGGGCGGCACUUGGAGUGUAAAUUGCUUUGUAGUAUUUAAAGGCAGAAUGGAUCCUGGGCAGCCGAGCUGGUACGUGCAACAGAAACUACUCAAUGGAAUUGUUCUGGGUAGGACUGGUCUGAUCGUCCUUUGUGUACCAAACGUUGUGUGUCCUGGAUUGCGCCUAUGUGUAUACACCCAUUUCAUGUUCACCAGGAUCAUGGGGACUUGGGAGUCACAAUCUUUCAUUUUUCCAAAAUGAUACAAUAAAAGCUUUACGGAACAUUGUUUAUUAAUAGAAAUGUGACCCGAGUCACAGUCUUAAGAAACACAUGAUAAUGAUAGAAAAAUACUUUUAUGUUUCUUUGUUAGAGAAAAAGAAAGUAAACCUAAACUGUAUCACUGUGCAGUGUUACUAGAUAUGACUUAAAAGACAAUGGCAAAAAAUGUUUGACUGCCGUGGAGUAGACUUUUACCUGUAGGUGUAGACUUAAACACACCUGUAAUAUAUCAGUGUUUUCAAAUCUAUGUGCCAGAAAAAAACAUGGUGUAGCUAUGAAAACACUAGUUAUGAAAAAUGCAUGUCAUGCAUAUGUACAUUUUGUUUUGUAAAUGUGUGUUGUGUAUAUACACAUGUAUAUGUGACCUAGAUGCAGAAUUAUUAUCGUAUGAUUACAAAUAGACAUGUGCUGAAUAUAGAUGAAUUUCUGCACCUUCAUACAUUGUAUGUCUAUCUGGAUAACUUAGUAUGCAGAUCCAUUACCACAAUAUUAAAUCUGAAUUUAAAAGAA